GCAGCCGCGGUAAUACGGAGGAUCCAAGCGUUAUCCGGAUUUAUUGGGUUUAAAGGGUGCGUAGGCGGUUUGAUAAGUUAGAGGUUAAAUGUCAGUGCUCAACACUGGCCUGCCUCUAAUACUGUUGGACUAGAGAGUAGAUGCGGUAGGCGGAAUGUAUGGUGUAGCGGUGAAAUGCGUAGAGAUCAUACAGAACACCGAUUGCGAAGGCAGCUUACCAAACUAUAUCUGACGUUGAGGCACGAAAGCGUGGGUAGCAAACAGGAUUAGAUACCCC
RNAcentral lists this ribosomal RNA (277 nucleotides) under uncultured Alistipes sp. RNAcentral describes it as "partial 16S ribosomal RNA". It matches the Rfam family "Bacterial small subunit ribosomal RNA", at positions 511 to 788 of the family's 1533-position model. The record is from RNAcentral. Lineage: Bacteria; Pseudomonadati; Bacteroidota; Bacteroidia; Bacteroidales; Rikenellaceae.